UAUUAUGAGAGUUUGAUCCUGGCUCAGGACGAACGCUGGCGGCGUGCCUAAUACAUGCAAGUCGAACGCUUCUUUCCUCCCGAGUGCUUGCACUCAAUUGGAAAGAGGAGUGGCGGACGGGUGAGUAACACGUGGGUAACCUACCCAUCAGAGGGGGAUAACACUUGGAAACAGGUGCUAAUACCGCAUAACAGUUUAUGCCGCAUGGCAUAAGAGUGAAAGGCGCUUUCGGGUGUCGCUGAUGGAUGGACCCGCGGUGCAUUAGCUAGUUGGUGAGGUAACGGCUCACCAAGGCCACGAUGCAUAGCCGACCUGAGAGGGUGAUCGGCCACACUGGGACUGAGACACGGCCCAGACUCCUACGGGAGGCAGCAGUAGGGAAUCUUCGGCAAUGGACGAAAGUCUGACCGAGCAACGCCGCGUGAGUGAAGAAGGUUUUCGGAUCGUAAAACUCUGUUGUUAGAGAAGAACAAGGACGUUAGUAACUGAACGUCCCCUGACGGUAUCUAACCAGAAAGCCACGGCUAACUACGUGCCAGCAGCCGCGGUAAUACGUAGGUGGCAAGCGUUGUCCGGAUUUAUUGGGCGUAAAGCGAGCGCAGGCGGUUUCUUAAGUCUGAUGUGAAAGCCCCCGGCUCAACCGGGGAGGGUCAUUGGAAACUGGGAGACUUGAGUGCAGAAGAGGAGAGUGGAAUUCCAUGUGUAGCGGUGAAAUGCGUAGAUAUAUGGAGGAACACCAGUGGCGAAGGCGGCUCUCUGGUCUGUAACUGACGCUGAGGCUCGAAAGCGUGGGGAGCAAACAGGAUUAGAUACCCUGGUAGUCCACGCCGUAAACGAUGAGUGCUAGGUGUUGGGUCCUUUCCGGGACUCAGUGCCGCAGCUAACGCAUUAAGCACUCCGCCUGGGGAGUACGACCGCAAGGUUGAAACUCAAAGGAAUUGACGGGGGCCCGCACAAGCGGUGGAGC
Molecule: ribosomal RNA, 967 nt
Filed under: Clostridioides difficile
Lineage: Bacteria; Bacillati; Bacillota; Clostridia; Peptostreptococcales; Peptostreptococcaceae
Description: bacterial SSU rRNA
Rfam family: Bacterial small subunit ribosomal RNA
Source: RNAcentral